GACGAACGCUGGCGGCGUGCCUAAUACAUGCAAGUAGAACGCUGAAGGAGGAGCUUGCUUCUCUGGAUGAGUUGCGAACGGGUGAGUAACGCGUAGGUAACCUGCCUGGUAGCGGGGGAUAACUAUUGGAAACGAUAGCUAAUACCGCAUAAGAGUAGAUGUUGCAUGACAUUUGCUUAAAAGGUGCAAUUGCAUCACUACCAGAUGGACCUGCGUUGUAUUAGCUAGUUGGUGGGGUAACGGCUCACCAAGGCGACGAUACAUAGCCGACCUGAGAGGGUGAACGGCCAAACUGGGACUGAGACACGGCCCAGACUCCUACGGGAGGCAGCAGUAGGGAAUCUUCGGCAAUGGACGGAAGUCUGACCGAGCAACGCCGCGUGAGUGAAGAAGGUUUUCGGAUCGUAAAGCUCUGUUGUAAGAGAAGAACGAGUGUGAGAGUGGAAAGUUCACACUGUGACGGUAUCUUACCAGAAAGGGACGGCUAACUACGUG
This 495-nucleotide ribosomal RNA is filed under the name uncultured bacterium. RNAcentral describes it as "partial 16S ribosomal RNA". It matches the Rfam family "Bacterial small subunit ribosomal RNA", at positions 28 to 507 of the family's 1533-position model. The record is from RNAcentral.